UACGGAGGAUGCGAGCGUUAUCCGGAUUUAUUGGGUUUAAAGGGUGCGUAGGCGGCUUAGUAAGUCAGCGGUGAAAUUUUGCAGCUUAACUGUAACAGUGCCGUUGAUACUGCCAGGCUAGGAUUUGGUUGCUGUGGGUGGAAUGUGUGGUGUAGCGGUGAAAUGCUUAGAUAUCACACAGAAUAUCGAUUGCGAAGGCAGUUCACAAAGCCAAGAUUGACGCUGAGGCACGAAAGUGUGGGGAUCAAACAGGAUUA
RNAcentral lists this ribosomal RNA (257 nucleotides) under uncultured prokaryote. RNAcentral describes it as "partial 16S ribosomal RNA". It matches the Rfam family "Bacterial small subunit ribosomal RNA", at positions 524 to 780 of the family's 1533-position model. The record is from RNAcentral.